Molecule: small nuclear RNA, 164 nt
Filed under: Echinops telfairi (small Madagascar hedgehog)
Lineage: Eukaryota; Metazoa; Chordata; Mammalia; Afrosoricida; Tenrecidae
Description: U1 spliceosomal RNA (ENSETEG00000021783.1)
Rfam family: U1 spliceosomal RNA
About the family: U1 is a small nuclear RNA (snRNA) component of the spliceosome (involved in pre-mRNA splicing). Its 5' end forms complementary base pairs with the 5' splice junction, thus defining the 5' donor site of an intron. There are significant differences in sequence and secondary structure between metazoan and yeast U1 snRNAs, the latter being much longer (568 nucleotides as compared to 164 nucleotides in human).
Source: RNAcentral
AUACUGACCUGGCAGGGGAGACACCAUGAUCACGAAGGUGGUUUUCCCAGGGCGAGGCUUAUCCAUUGCACUCCGGGUGUGCUGACCCCUGCGAUUUCCCCAAACGUGGGGAACUCAACUGCAUAAUUUGUGGUAGUGGGGAACUGUGUGUGCACUCUCCCCUG